Neofelis nebulosa (Clouded leopard) is the source of this 3218-nucleotide long non-coding RNA. RefSeq lists it as uncharacterized. Lineage: Eukaryota; Metazoa; Chordata; Mammalia; Carnivora; Felidae. The record is from RefSeq and is a predicted model, not a curated record. The transcript is spliced from 3 exons.
GCUGUAAGGAGGGUCAGUGAGGGGCUGUAACCAGGGUUCAAGUCAGCACUGGGGCCUCAGAGGUUUGGGAGAAUGGGAGGCACCCCUAAGCCCCGAGGUACCCCCCAGGACUACAGAGCAGCCAGGAAUGCCCUCUCCCCGGCGUGAGACUGACAUUCACGUAGCCCCCAAGAGCGUCAGGGCCCCGUGAUUCACAGAGGCAGACUCGACCGCCCUGACUUUUCUCUGGCGUGCUCAAAUCAGAAGGCCGAGGCCUCGGAAGGCUGGCAUUUUCGUUUCCCAAGCAGAACAUGUGGCCCGACCAGGGCCCGCAGCCCGCGCGCCAGGCUGCCGGCCCACUACUCACUCUUCAGGUGCUCUCCGGCCCCAGACAGGAGGUAGUAGAAGAUGUGGAAGGUCCGUUCCUCCUUGGCUUGGCGGAUAGCACGAGAUUUCUCCAAAAGAUCUUGGCAAACGCUAAGGAACUGCGCAAGCAAGCAGGACGGAAGGCCACUCCCACCCGCCCCGCCCCCAUCAAGAGUGACUGAACUUUGCCAGGCAGAAAAUGGCAAAAUCGAACAAAAGCAAACCAAAUCGGCUCCUUCCGGGGGCACAGCCUGUCCAAAAGCAGCUCUCGCACUUGGGAGCCCUGUCUGGGUAAUGAGCCCCCUCUCACCAGGGGCUGGAGCACAGAAUGUUCCCACCAGCAAGGCUACGAUGCCUGUGCCAGGGAGAAAUGAAGGAGCAUCCACUCGAACCCUGCCCCUCUGGGAACCACACUGGAGGGUCUUCUGUCGUCCCAUCCCUUUCGAAGCAGAACUCUGUCCUGCCAGUAAAGAAAAACCUGAGCUCGGGGUUGGGUGUUCCAUGAGCUUCUCCGGGUACUCUUCCUGAAGCCACAGACGCGGGACUCCAGGCCCAGGACUCCUCUCCAUCAAGGUCCCGUCCCUCCAGACAAGGUCUCGUUUCCAGACCAAGGAUACAAGUCUCAAUGUUGGCUCCCACGAUGUAGCCAUUGACAUCAAAGUUAAUGCGAAUGAAUUUGCCCUAAGGAGAGACAGAUAAAGAGAAUCAGAAGCCCGGUCCUCCAGUUUCUAGCUCCUGCGGUAUAGCCCGAAGAGGGAAAAUCAAGAGACCGUGCCCAUGUCGGAGGCCAGGGGCCCGUGCAGUGCACUGCAUGGGUACUCAGGACUCAGCGCUGUGCUGCUUAAAGCCUGGGCCAGGACAAGAUCCAGAGAUGCCCAAGUUCAUCCGCUGAGGCGCAGGAGUGCUCCUCGGUCCUCCAUCUGGCUGUUGGCUACAACAGGACAAGGAGUGGGACCGGCAGGUAACUCCCCACUGUCCCUCCUUUCCCCCCAGUUCUCUGCCACCUGGGCUGAAGCAGCCACGUGUGCAGGUCCCCACCAGCUGGAGCUCACCCCAGCCUACUCCCCGCCACAGGCCGGGAGGCAACCAGGUCCGAAGCUGCCUCACUUUCUGAGGUGAGAGCGGCAGCUGGAGGGCGACGUGUGCCAAAGCCGUGGGUGGGAGCCUGAGCCCCGCGAGCUGGGCAUGGCCGGCCACUACUCACAAAUCGGGAGGAGUUGUCGUUCUUCACAGUCUUGGCGUUCCCGAAGGCCUCCAGGAUGGGGUUGGCCUGCAGCAGCUGUCGCUCCAACUCGCCCUGGAAAGGAACCCGGGGAUGCGGUGAAGGCCAGGCAGUGGCUCGGGUCGUCGAACCUGCUCUGCCAGGCAGGGGGGCCGGUGGCAGAGCUGUGCCUACACGCCCAGCGUGCCAGGAACAGAGGGCGUUCCGGCCACGCCAGCCGCAGCCUGGCCCCUGUGUCACUCGGGAGCGACCUUCCCGCCGGGUGUUGAACUUACGUCGCCGGACUGACCGAUCGGCACCCCCAGGAAGGGAAGGACAAGGCGAGAAGGAAUCAGCUCCAUAAAAGACACCAGCUCACUUCAUCCGUGUCCUGAUAGACACGGCACUUUCCCUGCUGUGGACCCUGUCCCGCCACCUACCCACCCCCACAGACGUGCUUCCAGAGUGUCCAGCGCGUGAGCCGGGGAUCAGUGAGGCCCACCACGGGUUCCAAACUGUUUAUCGACAACACCAAUAAACUCUACUUGUGGUCCCAAGCCACACAUGUGGCUGACACACCCUAAGCCUCCCUAUCCCCGGAUCCUCAGGAUAGGCAAAACAGGGUGGCCCCGAGGUCAUCCGGCAAAGCAGCCGCCAACUCGCGUCUUCUCCGACAGGUGUCAGUCACUGCCCUGUCCCCCAGCCCUGCGUGGGGCUCUACCCCGCCGGCCUAGAUCACUUUUGGAAGCGGCCAUCACCUUCCCAGCAGGCCAGGCGGUAACGGACUCGGGCUGCGGAAAAUUCGGCCCUUAAUACCUGGGAUCGCUCUAGGGGGAAAGAACAUCACACAGGGGCCAGGCCGGCUUUUGUAUUUAUUAGCAAGGCUGGACUCCGGCCAGGAUUUUACGGGAACGGCUGCCUGUGAAUGAUGAAGAGGAAAACUGGAAGUAGCAGGAGCUCCCGGGAGAGUCGUGAGGUUCAGCCUUCCAGGCGCACCUGCUGCUGACGAGGCCCGUCUGCAGAGCACUGAGCCAGGGGCUGGAAGGGGCCGGGGCAGACUCUCCUGCUCCAGCAGCCCAUCCUCGGCCAGGGAUCCCGCCCCCCCGCCGCACCCCGGGACGCCAGGGAGUCUUCUGUUUUCACACCGCACGGAUUAAGUGAAGGAGGUUCAGUGGAGCCACGCUGAGGAGCAGGGAUCAAAUCCACUGCACAGGCUGAACAUGUGUGCUGGGCACCAGCCGUCACAGGACACCGGGCCCCUGCCCACAGGGCUCGCGCGAGCCUGCGAAGUCAGCGGAGGCAGACCACGGAGUCCAAUUUGGAGGAGCGCCGCCCCCCCACCCACUAAGACGCUCCUCUCAGAGCACAGGCCGGGCCACUAGGCUGGCUGGGCCACUCCCGCUCCUGUUUCCGCAGACCGAUGGGACCACGGUCCCCACCAGAGCCUGCCGCCUGCCCUGGCUUGGGAGCCUCGCUAAGGUCUCUGUCGUGGGACCACACGCUGCUGCCGUGGCAACAUGGGACCACUCGGCCAACUAGGGGGCAGCCACUUCAGAUUCCGGAGCCGAACUCCGUGCAGACAAUGGUGGUGGCUAACCUAUGGGUUUUUCCUUAUUGACCCAUACCCGGGCACGGAAGGGACCUUUAUUUCUCAAUAAAAUCUGCACGUGAC